RNAcentral lists this transfer RNA (78 nucleotides) under Faucicola osloensis. RNAcentral describes it as "Moraxella osloensis tRNA-Arg". It matches the Rfam family "tRNA". From Rfam's summary of the family: Transfer RNA (tRNA) molecules are approximately 80 nucleotides in length. Their secondary structure includes four short double-helical elements and three loops (D, anti-codon, and T loops). The record is from RNAcentral. Lineage: Bacteria; Pseudomonadati; Pseudomonadota; Gammaproteobacteria; Moraxellales; Moraxellaceae.
UGUCAUGUAGCUUAGUUGGAUUAGAGCAUCUGCCUACGAAGCAGACGGUCACAGGUUCGAGCCCUGUCAUGACAGCCA